This 509-nucleotide ribosomal RNA is filed under the name uncultured bacterium. RNAcentral describes it as "bacterial SSU rRNA". It matches the Rfam family "Bacterial small subunit ribosomal RNA", at positions 998 to 1505 of the family's 1533-position model. The record is from RNAcentral.
UCGAUGAAGUUGGACGUGCCCGAAAGGGAGCCGUAACACAGGUGCUGCAUGGCUGUCGUCAGCUCGUGUCGUGAGAUGUUGGGUUAAGUCCCGCAACGAGCGCAACCCUUGCCAUUAGUUGCUACAUUUAGUUGGGCACUCUAAUGGGACUGCCGGUGACAAACCGGAGGAAGGUGGGGAUGACGUCAAGUCCUCAUGGCCCUUAUGGGUAGGGCUUCACACGUCAUACAAUGGUCGGUACAGAGGGUUGCCAACCCGCGAGGGGGAGCUAAUCUCAUAAAACCGAUCGUAGUCCGGAUUGCAGUCUGCAACUCGACUGCAUGAAGUCGGAAUCGCUAGUAAUCGCGGAUCAGCAUGUCGCGGUGAAUACGUUCCCGGGCCUUGUACACACCGCCCGUCACACCAUGGGAGUGGGUUUCACCAGAAGCAGUUAGCCUAACCGCAAGGAGGGCGAUUGCCACGGUGAGAUUCAUGACUGGGGUGAAGUCGUCGUAACAAGGUAACCGUAA